GAUGAACGCUAGCUACAGGCUUAACACAUGCAAGUCGAGGGGCAGCGCAGUGUAGCAAUACAUGGGCGGCGACCGGCGCACGGGUGCGUAACGCGUAUCCAACCUUCCCGUUACUCAGGGAUAGCCUUCCGAAAGGGAGAUUAAUACCUGAUGGUGUUCAAAUUCCGCAUGUUAUUUGAACUAAAGAUUUAUCGGUAACGGAUGGGGAUGCGUGACAUUAGAUAGUAGGCGGGGUAACGGCCCACCUAGUCUACGAUGUCUAGGGGUUCUGAGAGGAAGGUCCCCCACACUGGAACUGAGACACGGUCCAGACUCCUACGGGAGGCAGCAGUGAGGAAUAUUGGUCAAUGGUCGGAAGACUGAACCAGCCAAGUAGCGUGAAGGAUGAAGGUUCUAUGGAUUGUAAACUUCUUUUAUACGGGAAUAAAACCUCCCACGUGUGGGAGCUUGUAUGUACCGUAUGAAUAAGCAUCGGCUAACUCCGUG
RNAcentral lists this ribosomal RNA (486 nucleotides) under uncultured bacterium. Its description in RNAcentral is "bacterial SSU rRNA". It matches the Rfam family "Bacterial small subunit ribosomal RNA", at positions 28 to 507 of the family's 1533-position model. The record is from RNAcentral.